Molecule: ribosomal RNA, 398 nt
Filed under: uncultured bacterium
Lineage: Bacteria
Description: bacterial SSU rRNA
Rfam family: Bacterial small subunit ribosomal RNA
Source: RNAcentral
AACGAACGCUGGCGGCGCGCCUAAUACAUGCAAGUCGAGCGAGAAGACGUAGCAAUACGUUUGUAAAGCGGCGAACGGGUGAGGAAUACAUGGGUAACCUACCCUCGAGUGGGGAAUAACUAGCCGAAAGGUUAGCUAAUACCGCGUACGCUCCUUGGACUUCGGUUCAGGAGGAAAGCGAUACCGUGGGUAUCGCGCUCUUGGAUGGGCUCAUGUCCUAUCAGCUUGUUGGUGAGGAACGGCUCACCAAGGCUUCGACGGGUAGCUGGUCUGAGAGGGCGACCGGCCACACUGGGACUGAGACACGGCCCAGACUCCUACGGGAGGCAGCAGUGGGAAUCUUGCGCAAUGGGCGAAAGCCUGACGCAGCGACGCCGCGUGAGGGAUGACGGCCUCGG